This 276-nucleotide unclassified non-coding RNA is filed under the name uncultured fungus. Its description in RNAcentral is "partial contains small subunit ribosomal RNA, internal transcribed spacer 1, and 5.8S ribosomal RNA". The stretch from base 1 to 73 matches the Rfam family "Eukaryotic small subunit ribosomal RNA", at positions 1759 to 1831 of the family's 1831-position model. The record is from RNAcentral. Lineage: Eukaryota; Fungi.
UCAAACUUGGUCAUUUAGAGGAAGUAAAAGUCGUAACAAGGUCUCCGUAGGUGAACCUGCGGAGGGAUCAUUAUUAGAGCUUAAAAACUCAAAACCCACUGUUAUUAGUACCUGUUGUUGCUUUGGCAGGCGAUUCCAGGGCGGAAUCAUUGCUGGCUUUCAGCGCCUGCCAGAGGACACCAAAACUCUGUUAUAGUGUUACUCUGAGUCAAAGACCAAAUCAUUAAAAUCUUUAACAACGGAUCUCUUGGUUCUGGCAUCGAUGAAGAACGCAGC